This 365-nucleotide ribosomal RNA is filed under the name uncultured bacterium. RNAcentral describes it as "bacterial SSU rRNA". It matches the Rfam family "Bacterial small subunit ribosomal RNA", at positions 1 to 374 of the family's 1533-position model. The record is from RNAcentral.
AAGGGUUUGAUCCUGGCUCAGAUUGAACGCUGGCGGCAGGCCUAACACAUGCAAGUCGAGCGGAUGACGGGAGCUUGCUCCUUGAUUCAGCGGCGGACGGGUGAGUAAUGCCUAGGAAUCUGCCUGGUAGUGGGGGACAACGUUUCGAAAGGAACGCUAAUACCGCAUACGUCCUACGGGAGAAAGCAGGGGACCUUCGGGCCUUGCGCUAUCAGAUGAGCCUAGGUCGGAUUAGCUAGUUGGUGGGGUAAUGGCUCACCAAGGCGACGAUCCGUAACUGGUCUGAGAGGAUGAUCAGUCACACUGGAACUGAGACACGGUCCAGACUCCUACGGGAGGCAGCAGUGGGGAAUAUUGGACAAUGG